GAUGAACGCUGGCGGCGUGCCUAAUACAUGCAAGUCGAGCGAACAGAUGAGGAGCUUGCUCCUCUGACGUUAGCGGCGGACGGGUGAGUAACACGUGGAUAACCUACCUAUAAGACUGGGAUAACUUCGGGAAACCGGAGCUAAUACCGGAUAAUAUAUUGAACCGCAUGGUUCAAUAGUGAAAGACGGUUUUGCUGUCACUUAUAGAUGGAUCCGCGCCGCAUUAGCUAGUUGGUAAGGUAACGGCUUACCAAGGCAACGAUGCGUAGCCGACCUGAGAGGGUGAUCGGCCACACUGGGACUGAGACACGGUCCAGACUCCUACGGGAGGCAGCAGAAGGGAAUCUUCCGCAAUGGGCGAAAGCCUGACGGAGCAACGCCGCGUGAGUGAUGAAGGUCUUCGGAUCGUAAAACUCUGUUAUUAGGGAAGAACAAAUGUGUAAGUAACUAUGCACGUCUUGACGGUACCUAAUCAGAAAGCCACGGCUAACUACGUG
RNAcentral lists this ribosomal RNA (497 nucleotides) under uncultured bacterium. RNAcentral's name for it is "partial 16S ribosomal RNA". It matches the Rfam family "Bacterial small subunit ribosomal RNA", at positions 28 to 507 of the family's 1533-position model. The record is from RNAcentral.